RNAcentral lists this ribosomal RNA (253 nucleotides) under uncultured bacterium. Its description in RNAcentral is "partial 16S ribosomal RNA". It matches the Rfam family "Bacterial small subunit ribosomal RNA", at positions 524 to 776 of the family's 1533-position model. The record is from RNAcentral.
UACGUAGGGUGCAAGCGUUAAUCGGAAUUACUGGGCGUAAAGCGUGCGCAGGCGGUUAUGUAAGACAGGUGUGAAAUCCCUGGGCUUAACCUGGGAACUGCAUUUGUGACUGCAUAGCUAGAGUACGGUAGAGGGGGAUGGAAUUCCGCGUGUAGCAGUGAAAUGCGUAGAUAUGCGGAGGGACACCGAUGGCGAAGGCAAUCCCCUGGACCUGUACUGACGCUCAUGCACGAAAGCGUAGGGAGCAAACAGG